RNAcentral lists this ribosomal RNA (229 nucleotides) under uncultured bacterium. RNAcentral's name for it is "partial 16S ribosomal RNA". It matches the Rfam family "Bacterial small subunit ribosomal RNA", at positions 568 to 796 of the family's 1533-position model. The record is from RNAcentral.
UGCGUAGGCGGGUCUUUAAGUCAGUGGUGAAAUCCUGCAGCUCAACUGUAGAAUUGCCAUUGAAACUGAAGGUCUUGGAUAUGGACGAGGUAGGCGGAAUGAGUUAUGUAGCGGUGAAAUGCAUAGAUAUAACUCAGAACACCAAUUGCGUAGGCAGCUUACCAGGCCAUUAUUGACGCUGAGGCACGAAAGCGUGGGUAGCGAACAGGAUUAGAUACCCUGGUAGUCC